Capra hircus (goat) is the source of this 340-nucleotide long non-coding RNA. RefSeq lists it as uncharacterized. The transcript has 3 exons. NCBI's taxonomy places the organism in Eukaryota, Metazoa, Chordata, Mammalia, Artiodactyla, Bovidae. The record is from RefSeq and is a predicted model, not a curated record.
GGAGUGGAUAGCCGGUCCCUUCUCCAGGGGAUCUUCCUGACCCAGGGAUCCAACACAGAUCUCCCGCUUUGCAGGUGGACUCACUGCAGUCUGAGCCAUGUGAGUUGGGUUAUCCGUAAUUAAAGGCUGAUGCAACUGAAGGCACAGAAAGGAACUACAAUGUCAGCGCUGUCACAGAUCACCAUUGGAUGAAUGUGUGGUCUGUGUUCUGAGCUAUUUGAUAAUCCCUGUGCCAACACCACACUGAAAUAUAAAGCCUGAAAAUAUCCAGCGUUUUAUCCAGUAUGAAGAAGUAGACAUUCUCAUACACUGGGUUGUAAUAGAAAAAAGGAGAUCCAAC